RNAcentral lists this ribosomal RNA (349 nucleotides) under uncultured bacterium. RNAcentral describes it as "bacterial SSU rRNA". It matches the Rfam family "Bacterial small subunit ribosomal RNA", at positions 8 to 350 of the family's 1533-position model. The record is from RNAcentral.
AGAGUUUGAUCCUGGCUCAGGAUGAACGCUAGCUACAGGCUUAACACAUGCAAGUCGAGGGGAAACGACAUCGAAAGCUUGCUUUUGAUGGGCGUCGACCGGCGCACGGGUGAGUAACGCGUAUCCAACCUGCCCACCACUUGGGGAUAACCUUGCGAAAGUAAGACUAAUACCCAAUGACGUCUCUAGAAGACAUCUGAAGGAGAUUAAAGAUUUAUCGGUGAUGGAUGGGGAUGCGUCUGAUUAGCUUGUUGGCGGGGUAACGCCACAAGGCGACGAUCAGUAGGGUCUGAGAGGAAGGUCCCCACACUUGGAACUGAGACACGGUCCAAAACUCCUACGGGAGGCA